UCCAGACUCCUACGGGAGGCAGCAGUGGGGAAUAUUGGGCAAUGGGCGCAAGCCUGACCCAGCAACGCCGCGUGAAGGAAGAAGGCUUUCGGGUUGUAAACUUCUUUUAAGAGGGAAGAGCAGAAGACGGUACCUCUUGAAUAAGCCACGGCUAACUACGUGCCAGCAGCCGCGGUAAUACGUAGGGGGCAAGCGUUAUCCGGAUUUACUGGGUGUAAAGGGAGCGCAGACGGCAGUGCAAGUCUGGAGUGAAAGCCCGGGGCCCAACCCCGGGACUGCUCUGGAAACUGUACGGCUAGAGUACGGGAGGGGCAGGCGGAAUUCCUAGUGUAGCGGUGAAAUGCGUAGAUAUUAGGAGGAACACCGGCGGCGAAGGCGGCCUGCUGGACCGAAACUGACGUUGAGGCUCGAAAGCGUGGGGAGCAAACAGGAUUAGAUACCCCAGUAGC
RNAcentral lists this ribosomal RNA (449 nucleotides) under uncultured bacterium. RNAcentral's name for it is "bacterial SSU rRNA". It matches the Rfam family "Bacterial small subunit ribosomal RNA", at positions 330 to 794 of the family's 1533-position model. The record is from RNAcentral.